This 22-nucleotide microRNA is filed under the name Xenopus laevis (African clawed frog). RNAcentral's name for it is "Xla-Mir-34-P2b1b_3p* (star (passenger))". The record is from RNAcentral. RNAcentral also lists the same sequence under 1 other name. Lineage: Eukaryota; Metazoa; Chordata; Amphibia; Anura; Pipidae.
AAUCACUAACUACACAGCCAGG